RNAcentral lists this long non-coding RNA (697 nucleotides) under Varroa destructor (honeybee mite). RNAcentral describes it as "uncharacterized LOC111255582, transcript variant X1". Lineage: Eukaryota; Metazoa; Arthropoda; Arachnida; Mesostigmata; Varroidae. The record is from RNAcentral.
GACGAUGGCCGAAGUGGCAGAAGUGCAAUUGAAGUUGACGGGAAAAACGAUCGACACCUAAUAGCAUUAUCGUACAUUGAAGGUGGGAGUCGAGAUUAAAAAUCAUGCGCGGAUUUAAAGCUGUCACGAGUCCAGCGAGGGCAACCGGUCCAAAUUUUCGUCUAUUCAACUCUACACGAACCUUAUAAUUGUUUUCGUCAAGGAAUCAAGUGAGCUCAGUUACGUCUCCUGGAUAGUACGCGUCGUAAUAUCUCGCAGUUCAGAUACGGGGUGAUUCGAUAUCAAGGGAGCACAAGACAGGAGCGUGGCUCAGUGUUUCGAGCGGAUGUGACAAGAUGCUCUCAACGCUGCCGGCCGUUCCUGCUAAUAUCGCUAAGCUCUUCGGCUAGAACUGGAUCGGCCCUGGGCAGUUGGAUUUGUCCUUGUAUUGCACUCUCGUUUGCCACAGAUACCGCACACAGCUAUGGCAAGUCUUUCUUUAGAACUUCAUUCAGUUCUUAUACUAGUAAAUCUAAUAGGAUAAAUCUGCAUAGAUCUUAAAAAUAGACUAUAGAUGUAUGUUGGAUAGGACCAACCGAACAUACCAUAGCAGCUAACAUCUUAUAGAACUUCCAAACAGAUUGACUGGCAAGUAAAUUCUACACAAGUCGCGAAUCAGAUAGGUUCAUAGUGCAGUUAAGCAAUUUGUCUGCUAAGU